GAUGAACGCUGGCGGCGUGCCUAAUACAUGCAAGUCGAGCGAAAAGACGAGGAGCUUGCGCCUCUGAUGUUAGCGGCGGAGGGGAGAGUAACACGUGGAUAAACUACCUAUAAGACUGGGAUAACUUCGGGAAACCGGAGCUAAUACCGGAUAACAUGUUGAACCGCAUGGUUCAACAGUGAAAGACGGUCUUGGUGUGACUAAUAGAUGGAUCCGCGCCGCAUUAGCUAGUUGGUAAGGUAACGGCUUACCAAGGCAACGAUGCGUAGCCGACCUGAGAGGUUGAUCGGCCCCUCUGCAGCUGAGACGCGCUCCAGACCCCUACGGGAGGCAGCAGUAGGGAAUCUUCCGCAAUGGGCGAAAGCCUGACGGAGCCACGCCGCGUGAGUGAAGAAGGGCUUCGGAUCGUAAAACUCUGUUAUUUGGGAAGAACAAAUGUGUAUGUAACGAUGCACGUCUGGACGUUACCUAAUCAGAAAGCCCCGCUUAAUUCCUU
Molecule: ribosomal RNA, 496 nt
Filed under: uncultured bacterium
Lineage: Bacteria
Description: partial 16S ribosomal RNA
Rfam family: Bacterial small subunit ribosomal RNA
Source: RNAcentral